Molecule: long non-coding RNA, 567 nt
Organism: Helianthus annuus (common sunflower)
Lineage: Eukaryota; Viridiplantae; Streptophyta; Magnoliopsida; Asterales; Asteraceae
Exons: 8
Source: RefSeq, a predicted model, not a curated record
UCUCGAUCCUGCGGAUGCUCUUACGUGAUCCUCAUGUGGUUAAAAGAGGUCCAUUUCACGUUUUUGUUUGAGGUGAAGAGGUCAGAUUUAUGCUUCAGUUUGACUAUAUACUGGUGCUGAAACUUUGAUCCAUUUGGCGUGGGGGCUCAGUUGCUACCUUUAUGUUCGGUAUUGCAUCUACUACUUUUCAAGGUCAAACAUGGACAGGGCUUGGAUUUGCAAUAAACGGAUUGAUGAACUAAUGUGUCGAAACUAUGAUUUUGUUUUUUCAAUCGAUUUUAUCAGAAUCCUUUUGGAGUCAUGGAGAAGAUGUCCCAUUGAAAGAUGCAUUACUGAUUUGUUGAGCUUGAACAUGCUAUAAACCCGAACUUGCUAUUCUAUCCUAAAAGAUGCCCCCAUCCAAGGUUUCGUGUUUGGCUGAAUUCAAGAAGUUGGAGAGACUAGACCUCACCUUCAAUAAUCUGUUGUCACACGAGAUUAAUGGAUGUUCAAGCAAAGAAGAAGGCGCUGUAUCGUGCUAAAUUGAAAGCACAAAACCAGGACAAACGUAUUGAUUCUCCUCUUGCA